AGUUAGCUAUAAAACUAAUCUUCCCUGAGGCCCUCAUCAUUAAAAAUCAUAAACAAAAGAGGGUUACACUGAGUUAGCUAUAAAACUAAUCUUCCCUGGAGGCCCUCAUCAUAUAAAAAUCAUAAACAAAAGAGGGUUACACUGAGUUAGCUAUAAACUAAUCUUCCUGAGGCCCUCAUCAUUAAAAAUCAUAAACAAAAGAGGGUUAACUGAGUUAGCUAUAAGCACUAAUCUUCCUGAGGCCCUCAUCAUUAAAAAUCAUAAACAAAAGAGGGUUACACUGAGUUAGCUAUAAAACUAAUCUUCCCUGAGGCCCUCAUCAUUAAAAAUCAUAAACAAAAGAGGUUACACUGAGUUAGCUAUAAAACUAAUCUUCCCUGAGGCCCUCAUCAUUAAAAAUCAUAAACAAAAGAGGGUUACACUGAGUUAGCUAUACAACUAAUCUUCCCUGAGGCCCUCAUCAUUAAAAAUCAUAAACAAAAUGCAAACAGAUACAUUGCAUACAUAAGUAUAAAAGUCAAGUAUACA
RNAcentral lists this long non-coding RNA (528 nucleotides) under Mytilus galloprovincialis (Mediterranean mussel). Lineage: Eukaryota; Metazoa; Mollusca; Bivalvia; Mytilida; Mytilidae. The record is from RNAcentral.